RNAcentral lists this ribosomal RNA (500 nucleotides) under uncultured bacterium. Its description in RNAcentral is "bacterial SSU rRNA". It matches the Rfam family "Bacterial small subunit ribosomal RNA", at positions 8 to 497 of the family's 1533-position model. The record is from RNAcentral.
AGAGUUUGAUCAUGGCUCAGAGUGAACGCUGGCGGCAGGCCUAACACAUGCAAGUCGAGCGGCAGCGCAGCAGUAGCAAUACUGUGGGCGGCGAGCGGCGGACGGGUGAGGAAUACAUCGGAAUCUACCUUCUUGUGGGGGAUAACGUAGGGAAACUUACGCUAAUACCGCAUAAGACCUGAGGGUGAAAGCAGGGGACCGCAAGGCCUUGCGCGAGAAGAUGAGCCGAUGUCCGAUUAGCUAGUUGGUGGGGUAAAGGCCCACCAAGGCGACGAUCAGUAGCUGGUCUGAGAGGACGACCAGCCACACUGGAACUGAGACACGGUCCAGACUCCUACGGGAGGCAGCAGUGGGGAAUUUUGGACAAUGGGCGCAAGCCUGAUCCAGCCAUUCCGCGUGAGUGAAGAAGGCCUUCGGGUUGUAAAGCUCUUUCGCAAGGGAAGAAAGAUUACGCUCUAACAUAGCGUGAUUAUGACGGUACCUUGAUAAGAAGCACCGGC